Molecule: ribosomal RNA, 42 nt
Filed under: Salvator merianae (Argentine black and white tegu)
Lineage: Eukaryota; Metazoa; Chordata; Lepidosauria; Squamata; Teiidae
Source: RNAcentral
CCUGGCAAGUACUUUGAUGGGAGACUGCCUGGGAAUACCUGG